AACCAAAAGGGGUGCUGGGGAAGCCCGGCUGAGAUUGAUACCGUAUUCGUAUCGGACCCGUUGACCUGAUCUGGAUAAUGCCAGCGUAGGAAAUAUA
Molecule: non-coding RNA, 97 nt
Filed under: uncultured Blautia sp.
Lineage: Bacteria; Bacillati; Bacillota; Clostridia; Lachnospirales; Lachnospiraceae
Source: RNAcentral